UGGACAGGGGGGUUCCCGCUCUCACCGAGUGGGGCCUGUCCAACGCAGGCCACGCGAAACGCGUGGCCCAUGGUUGUCGCUCGGGGGUGAUCGCCG
Molecule: small RNA, 96 nt
Filed under: Streptomyces sp. SS
Lineage: Bacteria; Bacillati; Actinomycetota; Actinomycetes; Kitasatosporales; Streptomycetaceae
Description: che1 RNA
Rfam family: che1 RNA
Source: Rfam by way of RNAcentral